RNAcentral lists this long non-coding RNA (1688 nucleotides) under Piliocolobus tephrosceles (Ugandan red Colobus). RNAcentral's name for it is "lncRNA (ENSPTEG00000016872.1)". The record is from RNAcentral. Lineage: Eukaryota; Metazoa; Chordata; Mammalia; Primates; Cercopithecidae.
GAUUUUUUUUUUAAUAUAAUAAAAAUAAUAAUUCAAAAUUUUUAUACUUAUUUUGAUUAUGACGAUUUACAAAUAUUACAACACAUACUUAUAAACUUAUCAAAAGAUAAGCUUUUUUCUUAUUAUUCCAUUAUGGAUGACAUACAGAAUGUUAUAAUAAAUAGUACUGGCUUUAACAAUUCCCAUAUGUAUAAAUAUUUUGUUUGUACUUAUAAUCUAUUAGAGACAAAGGAAGCAAUUAACCAAUACCAAACGGAAUGGAAAAAAGAAAAAAUUAAGAAAAAUAAACAUUUUGUAUUAAAAUUUUUAAAUUAUUUUUUAAAAAAAAAAAAAAAAACGGAUGCCUAUAUUCAAUUUUUAACAGAUCAGGAACAUGUGGCUGUUAAAAGUGACACACAGUACUUUGAAGAAAAUCUACAAAAUAAUCUAACCAAUUGGAAUCGAACAAAUUUGAUAAAUAUUAAUUGGAACGACAAUAAUAAUAAUAAUAAUAAUAAUAACAACACCAUAAUAAGCACACAAACCAACCAAACGGAUAUAGAUCACGUUAGUGCUAGCUACUAUAAAAAGAACUCAUUUAGCAGCCAAAAAAUAUACAACGAAACUUUAAUAUUUGAUAGUUUAGAUAAUGAAAGGGGAGGCGUAUGGUCCCCUAUAUCGCAUAACAAAAGGACUGACGAAUGGGCGAAUGAAUUGGCUAAUGAACGGACUAGCAAAUUGUCUAAUUGCAAAAGUAAAACUGCAGUAUAUAACGAAAUGUUUGGAAAUGGUCACGUUGAACAUAAACAACUUGACAUAGAACGGUUGGACCACGGGGAAUCUGAUUACGAACAGUUGAACUUUAAUAAUCUAUAUUGCCAUAAAAAAAAAAAAAAAAAAAAAAUUAAACACUUUUUAAGGGUGCGCACACAUACAGAAGAUACGGAUAAUGAAUGGUUUCAUAAUAAUUAUAAAAGUUUUGAUAAUUUUUUAAGCGAAAAAAGUUUGGAAGAAAGCGACUUUGUGUUUUUUAAAAACACGAAGGAUGAAGAUACGGAGAAAUCGUUGGGCGGUAAGUUUUUUGAAAACAUAAUUGAGCAUAUGGAAGGUGAGUAUGCCACUAGACAUAAGAGUGGGCAUAAGAGUGAACAUAAGAGUGGACAUAUGGAUGGACAUAUGGGUGGACAUAUGGGUGGACAUACAACUGAGAGCGCAGCUUUCCAAACCAACUGCACACCAAUAUAUCAUACAAACGUAACAUAUGAAAUAAAACCAUCAAUAGAACAAAAAAAGUAUACUAUUACACAACCAAUGUGUGAAAACAUGCUAACAGAAAGGUACGAACUUAUUUUAAAUUAUUAUAAAUUGAAUAGAGAAAUAUACAUAAAUGAUUACAUAAAUAAAAAAAGAGAGACGUUAAUAAUUCUACAGCAUUAUAAAAACAUAAUGAAUUUUUAUGAAAAUGAAAAAACACCAGAUGAUAAUUAUGAACAGGCUCAUACAAAUUAUUAUAAAGAAAGUUAUAAUUUUGAAAAAUCUUUUUAUUUGGGUGAAGAAAUGUCAGAAACGAAUUGUUUUAUUUUAGCUCAUAAUAAAAAUAGAAUAGGAAAUUGUUUUCAUAUAGAAAAAAAAAAUUAUAUAAACAAUUGUUUGGAUUUAUUAGUUACAGUAGAUUUGUAUAUGGAAUCCAAAGUAGAUAUAUAUAACAG